Anguilla anguilla (European eel) is the source of this 926-nucleotide long non-coding RNA. RefSeq lists it as uncharacterized. The record is from RefSeq and is a predicted model, not a curated record. Lineage: Eukaryota; Metazoa; Chordata; Actinopteri; Anguilliformes; Anguillidae. The transcript has 2 exons.
GUGAGCAACGUCUCUCAACAAGACCAGGAAGUACGCUUCAAAAACGAAGUCUGGUUUUGGCUGGUUUUUGAGUCAGAGAUAUAAGGCAUUUUCUCUAAGGACGCACUGAUUGAUUGACCACUGAUCGUUAUCAGCUGAUAAUACUGCUAAUGUUUUUGCUAGUUCGAAAAGAACCAAUUGUCAGUUUCGAUUAUGUCCUGUCAAUCAAAAAAUUGUAUAUUUGUAACAGUGUAAAUAUUAAUCUUGUAGUAUUAUAGUUAAAUUCAUUUUUAAUUUGGGCACACCAACCAUUUUUUUGGUAGGCCUUUUAUUUUAUAAACGGUGCAUCUAGUUUUGUCGAUGGUAGGCUUUUAUUUUAUGGUAUAUUCCGGUGCACUGUGGGUAACCUACAGCAGUGUAGGAUUGCCAUGCAGCGGAGUGAGCAAGCUGUGCUGAACCACUUAUUCACCUUCCUGAACAGACUGAUUGUGUGUGUCCCAUUACAGGUAUGAUCAUGUGUUUGUUAUAUUAACCAUUUGGCUCACGUUCACCAUUUUAAUAAGUAGGCCUAAAGGCUGUUCAUUCGCGUUUGUCGACUGGAAUAUGCCUGCUUCUGUAACAUUCCCGAGGGUGGCAGCAGAGGACCAUUUGUAAAUUAAUUAUUCCCUUGUUAAAAAAACGUAUGGGCAUUCAGAGCAUAGGAUUAUAUGACAGUCAUUUUAAUAUAUUUUAUUUUAUUUCAUUUGUAAGUUUAUUUUAUUUAGAUUAUAUUACUAUACGAUCACAAUGUAAAGACUACAAUGUUAAGUUUUUCAAGCCAACAGGGUAACCUACAGCAGUGUAGGAUUGCCAUGCAGCGGAGUGAGCAAGCUGCAAACUUAUUUACCUUCCUGAACAGACUGGUUGUGUGUGUCCCAUUACAGAAUAAAAUACUUGAAUGUUCCAUC